GACGAACGCUGGCGGCGUGCUUAACACAUGCAAGUCGAACGGAAAGGCCCUGCUUUUGUGGGUUGCUCGUGUGGCGAACGCGUGAGUAACACGUGAGUAACCUGCCCUUGACUUUGGGAUAACUUCUGGAAACUCCGGCUAAUACCGCAUAGGAGCUCCUGCUGCAUGUUGGUCGUUGGAAAGUUUCGGCGGUUGGGGAUGGACUCGCGGCUUAUCAGCUUGUUUGUGGGGUAGUUGCUUACCAAGCCUUUGACGGGUAGCCGGCCUGAGAGGGGGACCGGCCACAUUGGGACUGAGGGACGGACCAGACGCGUACGGGAGGCAGCAGGGGGGAGUAUUGCGGAACGGGCGGGAGCGUGAUGCAGCGGCGCCGCGUGCGGGAUGACGGGCUUCGGGGGGUAAACCGCUGUGGCCUGUGACGAAGAGUGAGUGACGGUAAUGGGUAAAGAAGCACCGGCUAACUACGUG
This 468-nucleotide ribosomal RNA is filed under the name uncultured bacterium. RNAcentral's name for it is "partial 16S ribosomal RNA". It matches the Rfam family "Bacterial small subunit ribosomal RNA", at positions 28 to 507 of the family's 1533-position model. The record is from RNAcentral.